This 253-nucleotide ribosomal RNA is filed under the name uncultured bacterium. RNAcentral's name for it is "partial 16S ribosomal RNA". It matches the Rfam family "Bacterial small subunit ribosomal RNA", at positions 524 to 776 of the family's 1533-position model. The record is from RNAcentral.
UACGGAGGGUGCAAGCAUUAAUCGGAUUUACUGGGCGUAAAGGGCGCGUAGGCGGGCGAAUAAGUUAGAUGUGAAAUUUCGGUGCUCAACACCGAAGCUGCAUUUAAAACUGUUUGUCUUGAGGGUAGGCGGAGAAAAUGGAAUUCCACGUGUAGCGGUGAAAUGCGUAGAUAUGUGGAAGAACACCGGUGGCGAAAGCGAUUUUCUAGCUUAUACCUGACGCUGAGGCGCGAGAGCAAGGGUAGCAAACAGG